GCACGCUGAUAUGUAGGUGAAGUCCCUCGCGGAUGGAGCUGAAAUCAGUCGAAGAUACCAGCUGGCUGCAACUGUUUAUUAAAAACACAGCACUGUGCAAACACGAAAGUGGACGUAUACGGUGUGACGCCUGCCCGGUGCCGGAAGGUUAAUUGAUGGGGUUAGCCGCAAGGCGAAGCUCUUGAUCGAAGCCCCGGUAAACGGCGGCCGUAACUAUAACGGUCCUAAGGUAGCGAAAUUCCUUGUCGGGUAAGUUCCGACCUGCACGAAUGGCGUAAUGAUGGCCAGGCUGUCUCCACCCGAGACUCAGUGAAAUUGAACUCGCUGUGAAGAUGCAGUGUACCCGCGGCAAGACGGAAAGACCCCGUGAACCUUUACUAUAGCUUGACACUGAACAUUGAGCCUUGAUGUGUAGGAUAGGUGGGAGGCUUUGAAGUGUGGACGCCAGUCUGCAUGGAGCCGACCUUGAAAUACCACCCUUUAAUGUUUGAUGUUCUAACGUUGACCCGUAAUCCGGGUUGCGGACAGUGUCUGGUGGGUAGUUUGACUGGGGCGGUCUCCUCCUAAAGAGUAACGGAGGAGCACGAAGGUUGGCUAAUCCUGGUCGGACAUCAGGAGGUUAGUGCAAUGGCAUAAGCCAGCUUGACUGCGAGCGUGACGGCGCGAGCAGGUGCGAAAGCAGGUCAUAGUGAUCCGGUGGUUCUGAAUGGAAGGGCCAUCGCUCAACGGAUAAAAGGUACUCCGGGGAUAACAGGCUGAUACCGCCCAAGAGUUCAUAUCGACGGCGGUGUUUGGCACCUCGAUGUCGGCUCAUCACAUCCUGGGGCUGAAGUAGGUCCCAAGGGUAUGGCUGUUCGCCAUUUAAAGUGGUACGCGAGCUGGGUUUAGAACGUCGUGAGACAGUUCGGUCCCUAUCUGCCGUGGGCGCUGGAGAACUGAGGGGGGCUGCUCCUAGUACGAGAGGACCGGAGUGGACGCAUCACUGGUGUUCGGGUUGUCAUGCCAAUGGCACUGCCCGGUAGCUAAAUGCGGAAGAGAUAAGUGCUGAAAGCAUCUAAGCACGAAACUUGCCCCGAGAUGAGUUCUCCCUGACUCCUUGAGAGUCCUGAAGGAACGUUGAAGACGACGACGUUGAUAGGCCGGGUGUGUAAGCGCAGCGAUGCGUUGAGCUAACCGGUACUAAUGAACCGUGAGGCUUAACCUUACAACGCCGAAGGUGUUU
Molecule: ribosomal RNA, 1222 nt
Filed under: Escherichia coli
Lineage: Bacteria; Pseudomonadati; Pseudomonadota; Gammaproteobacteria; Enterobacterales; Enterobacteriaceae
Description: bacterial LSU rRNA
Rfam family: Bacterial large subunit ribosomal RNA
Source: RNAcentral